UGUAAUCUCACACCUCAGCCUUUGUCCUGGAGGAAUGUGGACUUGGAUGUGCUGCUGCCGUGGCUCAUCUCAAAUACAUGAGUGUACCCUGCUUCCCCRUAGCGUAUUCGGUGUGAUAAGCAUUUUCACCGGAGAAGUGGUCCAUGGGCCCAUUGCGGAGGGGGGGGGCAUUUGGCUCUAUGCUUCGAACCGUCUUCGGACAGUGCUUGACAUUUUGACCUCAAAUCGGGUGGGACUACCCGCUGAACUUAAGCAUAUCAAUAAGCGGAGGAAAAGAAACUAACAAGGAUUCCCCUAGUAACGGCGAGUGAAGAGGGAUGAGCUCAAAUUUUGAAUCUGGUGCCUCCAGCACCCGAGUUGUAAACUAGAGAAGUGUUUUCUGUGUUGGACCAUGCACAAGUCCCCUGGAACGGGGUGUCAUGGAGGGUGAGAAUCCCGUAUAUGGCAUGGACUCCCUUCAYUUUGUGAUACACUCUCGACGAGUCGAGUUGUUUGGGAAUGCAGCUCAAAAUGGGUGGUAAAUUCCAUCUAAAGCUAAAUAUUGGCGAGAGACCGAUAGCGAACAAGUACCGCGAGGGAAAGAUGAAAAGCACUUUGGAAAGAGAGUGAAACAGUACGUGAAAUUGUUGAAAGGGACACGUUUGAAGUCAGUCACACUUGUGGGAACUCAGCCUGGCUUCUGCCUGGUGCACUUUCUUACAAGUGGGUC
Molecule: ribosomal RNA, 709 nt
Filed under: uncultured Sebacinales
Lineage: Eukaryota; Fungi; Basidiomycota; Agaricomycetes; Sebacinales
Description: eukaryotic LSU rRNA
Source: RNAcentral